RNAcentral lists this small RNA (164 nucleotides) under Gopherus agassizii (Agassiz's desert tortoise). Its description in RNAcentral is "TUC338 (ENSGAGG00000009376.1)". Lineage: Eukaryota; Metazoa; Chordata; Testudines; Testudinidae. The record is from RNAcentral.
CUGUAGUGCUGGGGAAGGACGUCCUGUAUUUAUCCACAGAACAGGUAGGUGCAGGCAAAAGCAGUGCAAGCACCCCCACCCCACUGCCUUCCCACGAGCUCCCUCAAUCCUGGCUUGAGCAAGAGGGGAGUUCAGUGCUAUGGCCCAUUCACUCCCUGACUUCU